Molecule: long non-coding RNA, 344 nt
Filed under: Pan troglodytes (chimpanzee)
Lineage: Eukaryota; Metazoa; Chordata; Mammalia; Primates; Hominidae
Description: long non-coding RNA NONPTRT011155
Source: RNAcentral
UUAGCUGAGUGUGGUGGCGUGUGCCUAUGGUCCCAGCUACCCUGGAGGCUAAGGUGGGAGGAUUGCUUGAGCCCAGGAAGUUGAGGCUGCAGUGCACUUUUAUAUUAUUUGUGGUUGCGCCAGGGUGGGCAACAGAGCGAGACCCUAUCUCAAAAAAUAAAGUGAAAUAAAAUGAAAUAUUGAGUUUGUAAGUUUGUUUUAUUACUGGCACCUUUAAGCCAUCAAAAUGGCUAAAUUACUGGCACCUUUAAGCCAUCAGCACACUGUGAACCCAGAAGUUUUAACUGGAAGCUGGUAAGACCUAAAGUGAUGGUUUGCACUCAAAAGCUGCCUGUCUGAUGGCU